GCUCGACCCUGGCCACGGGCGCCUGCGGCUUGGCGGGCUGCACCUGUGCCUGAGGCUGGGUCUGCGGCGACGGUUCAAUCGGCUGGCUGGGCG
Molecule: transfer RNA, 93 nt
Filed under: Pseudomonas putida
Lineage: Bacteria; Pseudomonadati; Pseudomonadota; Gammaproteobacteria; Pseudomonadales; Pseudomonadaceae
Description: tRNA-Ala
Source: RNAcentral